CCCAUCCAUGAUCAGUAGGCAAUUGUCCCAGGACAUGGGAGCGAGGAGAUCCAGAAUUUCUUAGAGUUUGGAGGAGGUCGAAUAUCGAGUUGAGGUGGAGAUUGUUAUGAUUUGACGUCUUGAGAUUCAGCCCACAUUGAGCCCACAGCGAAGUUCGCGAUGAAAAAUGAAGUCCAACGAGAUCAAGAUCACCUGAAAU
Molecule: long non-coding RNA, 199 nt
Filed under: Elaeis guineensis (African oil palm)
Lineage: Eukaryota; Viridiplantae; Streptophyta; Magnoliopsida; Arecales; Arecaceae
Description: long non-coding RNA (EGUI_LNC073362)
Source: RNAcentral